RNAcentral lists this small nuclear RNA (324 nucleotides) under Oryctolagus cuniculus (rabbit). RNAcentral describes it as "7SK RNA". It matches the Rfam family "7SK RNA". Rfam says of the family: 7SK was discovered as an abundant small nuclear RNA in the mid-70s but a possible function has only recently been suggested. Two independent studies have found that 7SK RNA binds the CDK9/cyclin T complex (known as elongation factor P-TEFb). The record is from Rfam by way of RNAcentral. Lineage: Eukaryota; Metazoa; Chordata; Mammalia; Lagomorpha; Leporidae.
GCUAGUGAUCUGAUCUGGCUGCGACAUCUGUCACCCCAUUGAUCGCCAGGGUUGAUUCGGCUGAUCUGGCUGGCUAGUUGGGUGUCCCCUUCCUCCCUCACCGCUCCAUGUGCGUCCCUCGAAGCUGCGCACUCAGUCGAAGAGGACGACCUUCCCCGCUAGAGGAUGACCGGUCUUCGGUCAAGGGUACACGAGUAGUUGCGCUCCCCUGCUAGAACCUCCAAACAAGCUCUCAAGGUCCAUUUCCAUUUUAUAAAUAUGGAAACUAUGACACAGAAAUUAAGUAACUCUCUAAGUAUUGAAGAUGAAAUUCUAAUAAAGGUG